GGAGAAAUUUCAUUUCGAUCUUGAUUUUGAGGUAAAAUGGAAAUGACCUGGUCCUUCUAAAAUCCUAUCCUGACUCUCCUAUAAGAAUUUAAAUUUUCAUUCCAAUUCCGAUUUCCAUUUCAAUUUCAGUUAUGAACUAAAUGCUUCGAGAUAUGACAUUUUGAUUCUAAUUCAUUUUGAUUCCAAUUUCGAUUCUGAUCGUGAACUAAAUACCUUAGUUCUUGAACUCGAAAUUGAUUAUGCUGCUUAUGGCAAUAUAAUUUUAUUAUGCCACGAAUCAAGG
RNAcentral lists this long non-coding RNA (283 nucleotides) under Elaeis guineensis (African oil palm). RNAcentral describes it as "long non-coding RNA (EGUI_LNC018732)". The record is from RNAcentral. Lineage: Eukaryota; Viridiplantae; Streptophyta; Magnoliopsida; Arecales; Arecaceae.